RNAcentral lists this ribosomal RNA (1220 nucleotides) under Salmonella enterica subsp. enterica serovar Typhimurium. RNAcentral describes it as "partial 23S ribosomal RNA". It matches the Rfam family "Bacterial large subunit ribosomal RNA", at positions 711 to 1827 of the family's 2925-position model. The record is from RNAcentral. Lineage: Bacteria; Pseudomonadati; Pseudomonadota; Gammaproteobacteria; Enterobacterales; Enterobacteriaceae.
AGACCCGAAACCCGGUGAUCUAGCCAUGGGCAGGUUGAAGGUUGGGUAACACUAACUGGAGGACCGAACCGACUAAUGUUGAAAAAUUAGCGGAUGACCUGUGGCUGGGGGUGAAAGGCCAAUCAAACCGGGAGAUAGCUGGUUCUCCCCGAAAGCUAUUUAGGUAGCGCCUCGUGAAUUCAUCUCCGGGGGUAGAGCACUGUUUCGGCUAGGGGGCCAUCCCGGCUUACCAACCCGAUGCAAACUGCGAAUACCGGAGAAUGUUAUCACGGGAGACACACGGCGGGUGCUAACGUCCGUCGUGAAGAGGGAAACAACCCAGACCGCCAGCUAAGGUCCCAAAGUCAUGGUUAAGUGGGAAACGAUGUGGGAAGGCCCAGACAGCCAGGAUGUUGGCUUAGAAGCAGCCAUCAUUUAAAGAAAGCGUAAUAGCUCACUGGUCGAGUCGGCCUGCGCGGAAGAUGUAACGGGGCUAAACCAUGCACCGAAGCUGCGGCAGCGAACGUAUCACCCAAGACAACUUUACGGAGUUGACGAUUGACGGAGCGAAGCGACGUCAAAGCGUUCAUUAAAGUCGAGUUGGCUUAGGGAUACGUUCGUUGGGUAGGGGAGCGUUCUGUAAGCCUGUGAAGGUGUGUCGUGAGGCAUGCUGGAGGUAUCAGAAGUGCGAAUGCUGACAUAAGUAACGAUAAAGCGGGUGAAAAGCCCGCUCGCCGGAAGACCAAGGGUUCCUGUCCAACGUUAAUCGGGGCAGGGUGAGUCGACCCCUAAGGCGAGGCCGAAAGGCGUAGUCGAUGGGAAACGGGUUAAUAUUCCCGUACUUGGUGUUACUGCGAAGGGGGGACGGAGAAGGCUAUGUUGGCCGGGCGACGGUUGUCCCGGUUUAAGCGUGUAGGUGUGUGUUCCAGGUAAAUCCGGUUCACUUUAACACUGAGGCGUGACGACGAGGCACUACGGUGCUGAAGCAACAAAUGCCCUGCUUCCAGGAAAAGCCUCUAAGCAUCAGGUAACAUCAAAUCGUACCCCAAACCGACACAGGUGGUCAGGUAGAGAAUACCAAGGCGCUUGAGAGAACUCGGGUGAAGGAACUAGGCAAAAUGGUGCCGUAACUUCGGGAGAAGGCACGCUGACACGUAGGUGAAGUGAUUUACUCAUGGAGCUGAAGUCAGUCGAAGAUACCAGCUGGCUGCAACUGUUUAUUAAAAACACAGCACUGUGCA